Molecule: ribosomal RNA, 202 nt
Filed under: uncultured bacterium
Lineage: Bacteria
Description: partial 16S ribosomal RNA
Rfam family: Bacterial small subunit ribosomal RNA
Source: RNAcentral
ACGCUCGACACCUACGGGAGACAGCAGUGGGGAAUAUUGCACAAUGGGGGAAACCCUGAUGCAGCGACGCCGCGUGGAGGAAGAAGGUCUUCGGAUUGUAAACUCCUGUUGUUGGGGAAAAAGAGGAUGGUACCCAACAAGGAAGUGACGGCUAACUACGUGCCGACAGCCGCCGGUAAGUACUGAGCGGGCGUGGCAAGGC